UGCUGUAUCUUCACUAUUGCUUC
Molecule: microRNA, 23 nt
Filed under: Callorhinchus milii (elephant shark)
Lineage: Eukaryota; Metazoa; Chordata; Chondrichthyes; Chimaeriformes; Callorhinchidae
Description: eshark_NOVEL_133
Source: RNAcentral